GACGCCAACUUUACUGUGCUCCACUAGAGUGAAGACUUCCCACUUCCUCCCCCACCCUCAUCUCACCUCCUGUCCCUUUCUGAUUCUGCAUGGCAAACUCCUUCCUUCUGGCGAAACCUGCUGUCUUGCUCUCGUAGGGUAGUAGAAUUGGUGGCUUCUGUCUUAACCGGAAGAGGAAGAGGAUACACACCUUCUCAUCUCUUGCUUGUCACUGGCCCUGGAACCUUAGUUUCUGAGCUGCUCUAGCACAAAACCUUGGACUGCCUCUACUUCCAUUGUCAGGCAGGUAGAGCAAAACAGGGGCAGCAAACACGCGUGAGGCAGUAUUUGGGAAGCAGUCAGUCAGCAAAAUUUCAGGUGGGGGGGAUUCGCUUUUAGCUAUGACCGUUUGGAAAAAGAAAACUUGAUUGUAGUUGCAAUUUAGUUUUCCACAGUCAAAUUGCAAUUUAGAUCCAUCACAGUCAAGAGUUUUGAGAGUGGCACGCCAAAGGGGGCAUUGUCAGAAUUGUGCACAGAAGCGCUUCAUGAUCCCCUCAGCAGAUGAGAGCACGACUGUGCAGAGUUGGCUUUGAGGCUGAAUUUAAAAGCAUGGAUUUCCAAGAAACACAGCAGCUGAGAAGUCACUGUGCCACACCUGCCCCUGAGAAUAUCCCUGGCAGCUGUAGCGUAGUAGCUAACAGGGUAUCUGUCCUUUUGGGUUGACCUAGUUGAUUUUGACAUUCUGCGGAGACCCUACAUCAAAAGGGAUGGUUCUCAAUGCAAAUAUGAUGGGGUGGGGGCUGUUACUUGCCACGGGGUUGUUGUCUUAGCCCAGGGGAAUGUACAACCUCCAAACUGGAGGAAACCGAACAGUGGGAUAUUGUGGGUUAGUUGGUUCUGACAAGUUGCCCUACCAUUGUAUGAGCUACCUUUGCCAGAAAUAAAAUGAGAAGGAAUUUUCUCAGAAGAAUCGACAUUCUCUUGGACAAAGCGCAGUGGAAGUAAUGGAACCGAAGAGGGAGGCUGCCGCUGUUCUUCACAUCACCUUUCACCAAUAUGCUUGCACCCCUUCUACACUGGGACUAGUUCAAAAGGAAGUUGGUUUCAGUGGGGUGGGGCUGCAUUUGAUAUUACGGGAGAAACUGUCCACAUGAUGGUUCUGCUACAGAUAUUAUAUUCAUAAUCCAUGUAUGCAGUGUGUUUUCUUUUACUUUUCAAAAAUAUUUUAAUU
This is a non-coding RNA of Podarcis lilfordi (Lilford's wall lizard), 1210 nucleotides long. The record is from the annotation of a GenBank genome assembly. NCBI's taxonomy places the organism in Eukaryota, Metazoa, Chordata, Lepidosauria, Squamata, Lacertidae.